Molecule: ribosomal RNA, 544 nt
Filed under: Pseudomonas sp.
Lineage: Bacteria; Pseudomonadati; Pseudomonadota; Gammaproteobacteria; Pseudomonadales; Pseudomonadaceae
Description: bacterial SSU rRNA
Rfam family: Bacterial small subunit ribosomal RNA
Source: RNAcentral
AAGAGAGCUUGCUCUCUGAUUCAGCGGCGGACGGGUGAGUAAUGCCUAGGAAUCUGCCUGGUAGUGGGGGACAACGUUUCGAAAGGAACGCUAAUACCGCAUACGUCCUACGGGAGAAAGCAGGGGACCUUCGGGCCUUGCGCUAUCAGAUGAGCCUAGGUCGGAUUAGCUAGUUGGUGAGGUAAUGGCUCACCAAGGCGACGAUCCGUAACUGGUCUGAGAGGAUGAUCAGUCACACUGGAACUGAGACACGGUCCAGACUCCUACGGGAGGCAGCAGUGGGGAAUAUUGGACAAUGGGCGAAAGCCUGAUCCAGCCAUGCCGCGUGUGUGAAGAAGGUCUUCGGAUUGUAAAGCACUUUAAGUUGGGAGGAAGGGCAUUAACCUAAUACGUUAGUGUUUUGACGUUACCGACAGAAUAAGCACCGGCUAACUCUGUGCCAGCAGCCGCGGUAAUACAGAGGGUGCAAGCGUUAAUCGGAAUUACUGGGCGUAAAGCGCGCGUAGGUGGUUUGUUAAGUUGGAUGUGAAAGCCCCGGGCUCAA